UCUUUCAGUUUUGAAAAUGUAAGUUGGAUUUUCUCUUUCAGGUUGCCAUCUGGUGUAUUGCGUACAGUCUCAGAGAGUAAGAGGCCAUCUGUUAAUACUUUUUCAGGAAGCUUUUUAUAGAGCAGUGAAGUGGCAAAUCUCAAAAACACGUUGUAAUGACUUACAAGAUCUUGGCAACAAGAUUUAAUUGGUGAUGUUUUGGAGCUUCCCUCUAUGGAACCAGUCCUGCUUCAAUGAAGAGUAAUAGCAAGAUCUUUUUCUCUUCAGUAGUUCAGAAUUUGAUGGUGGGAUAUCAAAAAUACCAUCCAGCAUCGGCCUUGAUUGCAGUAAUGGAUGAAGAACUGCUUGUGCUGGAGGAUACCGAAUUAGCAAGGAGCACCAUGUGUUCUUGUGGAUGUGCAUGAGAGAUGAAUAGGAAGGAGAUGAAAACUUAUAUUUGACUGCCUGCAGGAUAAUUGCGUUAGUGCAUGAUAAUCCAGGACAUGGUUCAACCGUGGAGACUGAAAUUCUGAAAUGGUGGGGCUGUCCUUACUCCUGGUGUACUACAAGGAACUGUGUUGCCUGCCGUGGUUCUGCUCCAAAUCAGGCCAUUUGAUACGCUUGGGGUGUGGGUACCACUCCAAUAGUCUCAAGAAAUGCUCAUUUCAAUGUGGAAAAAAUGCUGGACUAGUUGGCUGUCCCAAAUCCAGGUGAAGAGCUCUGCAGAAAUUA
Long non-coding RNA from Cygnus olor (mute swan), 711 nucleotides. RefSeq lists it as uncharacterized. The transcript has 4 exons. NCBI's taxonomy places the organism in Eukaryota, Metazoa, Chordata, Aves, Anseriformes, Anatidae. The record is from RefSeq and is a predicted model, not a curated record.